This 292-nucleotide ribosomal RNA is filed under the name uncultured bacterium. Its description in RNAcentral is "partial 16S ribosomal RNA". It matches the Rfam family "Bacterial small subunit ribosomal RNA", at positions 775 to 1067 of the family's 1533-position model. The record is from RNAcentral.
GGAUUAGAUACCCUGGUAGUCCACGCCGUAAACGAUGAUAACUAGAUGUUGGGUGAUUUAAUCACUUGGUAUCGCAGCUAACGCGUUAAGUUAUCCGCCUGGGGAGUACGGCCGCAAGGUUAAAACUCAAAGGAAUUGACGGGGGCCCGCACAAGCGGUGGAGCAUGUGGUUUAAUUCGAUGCAACGCGAAGAACCUUACCUACCCUUGAAUCCACGAAAGCUUCUAGAGAUAGAGGCGUGCCUUCGGGAAUCGUGAGACAGGUGCUGCAUGGCUGUCGUCAGCUCGUGUCG